Molecule: transfer RNA, 68 nt
Filed under: Exechia fusca
Lineage: Eukaryota; Metazoa; Arthropoda; Insecta; Diptera; Mycetophilidae
Description: tRNA-Tyr
Source: RNAcentral
GAUUAAAUGGCUGAUAAUAGGCAAUAAAUUGUAAAUUUAUGUAUAAGAAAUUAAAUUCUUUUUAAUCA